Molecule: ribosomal RNA, 301 nt
Filed under: uncultured bacterium
Lineage: Bacteria
Description: partial 16S ribosomal RNA
Rfam family: Bacterial small subunit ribosomal RNA
Source: RNAcentral
CAGCAGCCGCGGUAAAACAGAGGAUGCAAGCGUUAUCCGGAAUGAUUGGGCGUAAAGCGUCUGUAGGUGGCUUUUCAAGUCCGCCGUCAAAUCCUAAGGCUCAACCCUGGACAGGCGGUGGAAACUACCAAGCUGGAGUAUGGUAGGGGCAGAGGGAAUUUCCAGUGGAGUGGUGAAAUGCGUUGAGAUCGGAAAGAACACCAACGGCGAAAGCACUCUGCUGGGCUGCCACUGACACCGAGAGACGAAAGCUAGGGGAGCAAAUGGGAUUAGAGACCCGAGUAGUCCCUGUCUCUUAUAC